CAGAAAGUAGUCUGUCUUCUCUUAUGUCAAAUAACUGAUGAGGCAGGUGUGGAAGUUAGCUCUCUCCUAUGCAAAACAGGCCAUUGCAAAUGGAAGCACAAUUUCAAGUUUCUGUAUAAUAUUGAUCCCCAAUUUCAGCCUAAGAGCUGUGAUUACUGAGAUGAAAUGAGCAGUAUCACUUGAGUAGCAACAAUUGUCUUUACUUUUUUUUCCCCCACGUUGUUAUCAAGGAUUUGCUAAGCAAUCUAUCACAGUAUGUCAGAUGCAAGCAAGAUCUGCAAUCUAGGAGCCAUAUAGCAGCUGAGAACAUGGAUUUAAGAGGCAGAGGCUUCAGUUUCCUGCUGAAUUUUAUCAGGACCUGGGGUCUGCUGUGUUACACAGAGACAAAGUGUUGACCACAAGAUGGGAGUGGGUCUCUGUAGCAUCUCACAGACUGAGAGGGUCACUGCCUAGAAGUAUAGGACACAAUUAUGGAUUGCAGGGGAAGAGCAUUUGGGGUUUGCACAAAACCUAUUGUGGGAUGUUGAGGGGAGGAAGGGACAGAUGUGUCUUAGGGAAAAAAAAAAAAGUAAUGUAGAGGGACAAGGGGCUGAGAGGGGGCAGUCACAUGUAAACACGUGGGUGGACAGCAGACUUGUUUGUACAUGCC
Molecule: long non-coding RNA, 649 nt
Organism: Cygnus olor (mute swan)
Lineage: Eukaryota; Metazoa; Chordata; Aves; Anseriformes; Anatidae
Exons: 3
Source: RefSeq, a predicted model, not a curated record